Molecule: long non-coding RNA, 3049 nt
Organism: Macaca mulatta (Rhesus monkey)
Lineage: Eukaryota; Metazoa; Chordata; Mammalia; Primates; Cercopithecidae
Source: Ensembl
AGCGAUCUCCAUGGAGACAAACAUCGAACUCACUCCCUCCAGUUUGUAAAACUGAAUGUGAAUGGCCAUUCCAAAUCGGCUGUCUUAAUCCACUCAGAGCAGCAGGAAGUAUUUAACUGUUCAACAUAUUAAAUGAACAAAAAAAUACAGAUUUCAGGUUAAAGUGCCUGAUGGCUGCCACUGGCAUUGCCACUUCUGAUCUUGUUCUCAUUUGCGAACUCCCAGCUUUUUGUCUGGCUUUGGGAGCCUGGUUGGGCCUCCAGCUCUGGCCUUCUAUGUCUGCUGCCAGCUCUGAAGUUCUGAUGGGAUCCGUGUCAGGUUGUGAGCCACAGGAAGCGUGUCAACCAUGUCAAACCAGAAGAUCAAGAAAUCAAAGAUUCCAUUCGCUUGCCUUAGAGUUUGAGGAAAGAAGAUGCAACAAAGCAAGACUCCUUCCUCCAUGGAAUGUGCUGAUUUCAGACGAGGCGGCAGCCAAUGUGGAAAACGCUGGAAUUUUUCCUUGGAACUGGACUGUGAUGAGAGAUGCUUGCCAUGAACAUAGCUACUGUCUUUUCUUUGACCUUCCUUUCCAGUUUUUGAAGAUAAAGCAAGAAACAAUCUUCUCUGAAGAUACUUGAUAAAAAUUCCCCCCCAAAAAACAAAAACACAUGCUUCCAUUUCAUUGAUAAAAAUGAAUGGGUCUAGUUCAGCAGGGGGAAGAGCUGAUUGAUGCGUUUGCCCCAAUAGCCAGAUAUGCCCAUCCCCUUGAGGAUGCUCACUCUAUUUUUGGUAGCAUGGCAGGCCACUGAGAGGUGGAAAGGGUGCAAGAACCAUGAGAUCUCCUGGAAAUGCUUCCCUGGGAAGGCAAUUUCAUGAAUGAGGUCUUCCAAGCAAAUGACACCAACCUUCCCCAGAUGCUCCUCAAUCACUGUGUUAUCUGUCAGACGGAUGGUCUUACUCUUGACCUGGGCUUGUCCACGUUUCAAAAUGAGUUCCCGGUCACACAAUUUGGAAAUCCCCAGGUCACACAACGUUCCACUAUAUACAGCAUUUUUAGGUUCUGGGGGGCGACUUUUACAAAGACACCACUAAAAAUUUUCUUUAGGCGAAGUCUUGCAAUGGUUCUCUGCACCAGUAAACUCACGCCAUCAAUCCUUUUGAUGCAUACAACAAAGGCCUAGGAAUGUUUAUCUGGUGAUUCCAAGGCGUGAGGUUUCACUUCUAGUCGUCUGAGACUCACCUUGUCACGUUUCUGCUGCCAGGAAUCAUAUAGGAAUAAUUCCAGUCGCUUAAACCUGGCCCUUUUCCUUUCCUCUGCUCCUUCUUUGCCAAAAGUGCCUGCUUUGACUGGAUGGCUUUGGGAGCUUGAUAAGCCUUCCUCUUUUUCAGGAGAUUUUCUGGAGCCAAAGGGAUUUUUCUUUGCUCUUGGUCCCCCAUCUUUCUAGUGUUGCAGCUACUCUAGAUUUUUUCAUAAUACAAAGUUAAGAAAACUAUAUUUAGACAAACUUAUUCUAGAUGAGAAAAACCAAGACCCAAACAUCACAAAGCUAACAAAACGGAGACUGGGACUAGAAGGCAAGUCCUCUGUCUCCCAUUGACAUUCUCUUUCUGGUAAACCAUGUAUCAGUUCAGCUUGUUGUGCUCUCCCUGUAGACUUAAUUUUUGUCACCAUCAUCCUGGUAAUAAUAACUUCAACAUGCAAAGGCCAUUAACAAUUCUAGUCUACUUCCAAUCUAACUUUACCAUCCCCUGUGAUUUUAAUAAGCAUAAAAAUUUCCCUACUCCAGGUAACUAUCAAAAGAGAAAACAAUGUUGAUGUAUCUCUUUGUUCUAGCAUUCUUUGGAACCAAAAUAAAGGAUUGUUAGGGAAAAAAACCCAGACAAACAUAUGUGCAAGGAAUUUCAAAAAAGGAAUAGUCACUAAACAUAUUUAAACUUUUAAACAAGAAAUUGCACACUGCAACAGAAUCUAAAUAAUAUCCCAGAAGUAAUUACUAAUUUAAGUGUGUAAUGAAAUGAUAAAAUGCUUUGAUAGAGCUCUGGCCUGCGGAGUCUCUGUGAUACAUCCAGCAUCUUGGCAGCCAUCCAAGGCCCAGAGUGGCUUUGAGUUUGGAAUAUUUAUUUCAUCAGGAGCCAGGACCACCUCAGGAAGUCACCUGUGCCCAGAUCACUCAGAGUUACGUGGUUUUAUUCAUGUUCCCCUGGAAAAAGAAACAGUGAGCAUUUCUUCAUUUGAAGGAAAGGAAUAGGGGUUGGUCUGAAGAAGGGAGGAGAAGGAGAAUUACGUGUGUAUGGGUGGCUGAGAGUGGGUGUGGGAGGAAAUAGUUGGGGAGUUUACUCAUUCAGGUAACCCUAAGGUAAAUACCGUGAAAUGGUUAGCAGCAAACUGUCAGAGUAGUGUAGCUGGAAUACAAAUGUGUUAGUAGGAAGCAUUAAGUCAGGUGAUUUACUCAGGUGAGGAGAAGUACUGCAGGGUGAGCCCUAACUAGGAAGUUGCCUUCCUGUUCAGAACCGGGGGAGAUUAUGAGUGAGAUAGUUCUAAAACCAGUGAGUGCCAUAAGGCAGAAUUUCUAAACUAAUGUGGAAUUCAAAUGGCACUCACUUCUUUAAAUAGGUUUCAAAACGUUUUGGAUUAGGUUUAAGACAGCUCCUUUAAGUGAUUUGUAUUUCAUAGACAAGCCACAAGCAUUCUGUCCAUUUUUCCCCAAUCAGAAUUAAUUCUCCCUGCUCAUAAGAUGCAUGUCAUCAGCAUAAAAUUAUUCUCCUCCCCAUACUUUUCUGAUUGUGGCCUCCAAUUCCCAAGGUGAUUUAAAACUUAUAAAAAGAGGUUCAUAUUAACGAUGGAUUUCAAUUUUAAACAAGCUUCUCAGUGAGAACCAGUGUGACAUGAAAGCAUACUUCCAAGUGAAUUGUGUAUUCAUUUAAAGUUUAGGAAAAAAAUAAAAACAAACCCUGCUUUACUCCCACCCAGCGUGUAACUCCAGGUCACCACCCCUGGAACAUUGUGCCUUUGAGCUUUGGACUGGAUUUGCUUCUGAGGUUAAGAGAAGUGUGUGGCAGAUGUUGGGAG